AGGCUAUAAUGCACGAUCGGAUGGCUCUGGUGUGAGCUGAUCAUGAUCAGAUAGCUACAAAUGGUUCUAGGGUUGAUUGAGGCUCAAUAUUCUUAGUAUAACAGUAUUUUUGAGAUUCUGAAGCCUAUAUAGCUUUAAUUGACAAGCUGUUUAUUACGUUGGAUAGUUGGUGACAUCUUAGAGGUGUAGAAAGACUUAACAAAGGUUUCAAAGA
Molecule: long non-coding RNA, 214 nt
Filed under: Elaeis guineensis (African oil palm)
Lineage: Eukaryota; Viridiplantae; Streptophyta; Magnoliopsida; Arecales; Arecaceae
Description: long non-coding RNA (EGUI_LNC040238)
Source: RNAcentral